GUAUUCAUAUUCAAUAUUAUACCAAUAUAUCAUAUCACAUGAUUGUUACUAGUGUAGUUAAGUCAAAUUAUCUUAGUUGACCUUUUCAUUAUGCAAUGCAGAUCGCAACACCAGCUUAUUUAAAGUUUAAUCCGUCUGUAUAUCUGGAAAACUACUAACGCUAACACCAAUAUAAUAAAAAAAGAAAAAAAAUAUCUGCAAUAUCUGCAAUGCAUGCAAGCAAAGUGUCACAAUAUCAACAUAUCAACGUAUAAAGAAAGAUCUUUGAGUGACUAAUAAUUGGUUCGUCGACUCAUUGUUAUCAUUAUUAUGUUUAUUUAUUUAUUAUUAUCAUUAUUAUUGUUAUGUUCUCAUUGUUAUCGUUAAAAUCUCGUGUGGUGUUUUAUCUUGAUUUUUUCCCCUCGUGUGUUGACGGAAUUUCCUCCUAAUUUGCAUUUGAAUCCACUGAAUGCAGAGCAAAGUCAUUAAAUAUUAAAAUUAAACUAAAAAAAAAAAAAAAAAAUAAUAAUAAAUAAAUAAAUAGAUAAAAUAAAUAUGAUUAGAUUAAAGCAAAGUAGAUUCUUGCGAGGAUAUUCUGAGCUUAAGAAUACUCUAUGUUUAUAAUUUAUAUAGGUUAGUAUUAAUGCCUGUUUAGUAAGGUUCAAAUUGUAUUAAUGCCAGUUCAGUAAGGUUCAAAAUGUAUUAAUGCCAGUUCAGUAAGGUUCAAAAUGUAUUAAUGCCAGUUCAGUAAGGUUCAAAAUGUAUUAAUGCCAGUUCAGUAAGGUUCAAAUUGUAUUAAUGCCAGUUCAGUAAGGUUCAAAAUGUAUUAAUGCCAGUUCAGUAAGGUUCAAAAUGUGUUAAUGCCAGUUCAGUAAGGUUCAAAAUGUGUUAAUGCCAGUUCAGUAAGGUUCAAAUUGUAUUAAUGCCAGUUCAGAAGGUUCAAAAUGUGUUAAUGCCGGUUCAGUAAGGAUCAAAUUGUAUUAAUGCCAGUUCAGUAAGGUUCAAAAUGUGUUAAUGCCAGUUCAGUAUGGUUCAAAUUGUAUUGAUGCCAGUUCAGUAAGGUUCAUAAUAUGUUAAUGUCUGUUCAGUAAGGUUCAAAAUGUAUUAAUGCCUGUUCAGUAAGGUUCAUAAUAUAUUAAUGCCUGUUCAGUAAGGUCCAUAAUAUAUCAAUGCCUGUUCAGUAAGGUUCAAAUUGUAAUAAUGCCUGUUCAGUAAGGUUCAAAUUGUAUUAAUGCCUGUUCAGUAAGGUUCAAAUUGUAUUAAUGCCAGUUCAGUAAGGUUCAAAAUGUGUUGAUGCCAGUUUAGUAAGGAUCAAAUUGUAUUAAUGCCAGUUCAGUAAGGUUCAAAAUGUGUUAAUGCCAGUUCAGUAUGGUUCAAAUUGUAUUGAUGCCAGUUCAGUAAGGUUCAUAAUAUAUCAAUGCCUGUUCAGUAAGGUUCAUAAUAUAUUAAUGCCUGUUCAGUAAGGUUCAAAUUGUAUUGAUGCCAGUUCAGUAAGGUUCAUAAUAUAUUAAUGCCUGUUCAGUAAGGUUCAUAAUAUAUUAAUGCCUGUUCAGUAAGGUUCAUAAUAUAUUAAUGCCUGCUCAGUAAGGUUCAAAUUGUAUUAAUGCCUGUUCAGUAAGGUUCAACAUGUAUUAAUGGCAGUUCAGUAUGGUUCAAAAUGUAUUAAUGCCAGUUCAAUAAGGUUCAAAAUGUGACUAGAAGUGAAUAAAGUAUGAGAUAAG
Molecule: long non-coding RNA, 1700 nt
Filed under: Penaeus japonicus
Lineage: Eukaryota; Metazoa; Arthropoda; Malacostraca; Decapoda; Penaeidae
Description: uncharacterized LOC122259014
Source: RNAcentral